This 1047-nucleotide long non-coding RNA is filed under the name Ornithorhynchus anatinus (platypus). RNAcentral describes it as "lncRNA (ENSOANG00000038395.1)". Lineage: Eukaryota; Metazoa; Chordata; Mammalia; Monotremata; Ornithorhynchidae. The record is from RNAcentral.
GGCCAAAAGCUGAGGUUCCUAUUUGUCUGUUUCAAGGCUCAUCAGAGUGCGCUCUUUAGUUACCAUGGAAACUCUCUCCAGUGAAGUUUGAGAGCUGCUGGGAGUGCAGGGAAAUGGCAAGCAUCGAGGGAGGAAUUUGGCCGCAUUCCCCUGGAGGGUGCUGUAUUUGCCGAGCUUGGGAGCACUCAUGGAUUAUCCUCCCAGACCAGGUAAUUCCGGCCAGUCGGCAUCCAAUUUCUGAUGAAUUUCCAGCCAAGCAGGAGACAGCAGCAGAAUUUCUGACCACUCAUCGUCCAGUGGCAGGAAGGUCAGGAGGAAUUUAAGGGAGGAACAGAAGCAGGACUGUGGCGAGAUCUCGUUCCUCUCUGACCAGGUCUGCUCUCCUUCCAGUCACCCCCUGCUGCAGUUCAGACACACCCACCUCUUUCCCCCACUACCUUGGUUUAAUAGUGGGGUGCCUAGGAUAACUGUCCAAGUGAAUUGCUGGUUCUGAACGAUUGCCGUGUGCAAAAUCCAAAGAUCCAUCCUACAUGAUUCACUGACACUGCCUACCCCCAUUUGACAUUACGCCCAGUCGCUGCAGGAAAUUCCCUUCCCUCUCUGAACCAGAACAGACUCUGUACCUGUAUAGAUCAGGUAGAGAUUUUAGGUGAUUUAGACAACUUCUUCUUUCCUGCUCCAACUCCAGGCUGCUUUUACCUCAUUCAGCUACUCUCUGGUCCCUCCCCUAACAUGAUCUGGAAGACACCUUCUCCGCUCCAUCCCAAAGCAGUGCAGAAUCGCGGGGUGGUAGAAGACACUGGCUAAAUCUGCCUAAAAUCUCUGCUCCUUCUCCCCCAUCUGGAUUCUGUGCUGCUGUCGGCUGAAGAAACUCCCAAUCCUUGAGGGUGGAGAAGAAGGAGGAGGAGGAGGUGAUCGUUACGAAUGCCGGCUAAAGCUAGGAUCUUAGCUCCACCACCUGCUAAGAUUUGGGGAUUAAAAAGUCGUGCCUCAAUUUUCAAGCAAUUAAGUGAACUUUUUGAAAUGAUUGAAGAUCCUGAAAGAUAG